This 1551-nucleotide long non-coding RNA is filed under the name Podarcis lilfordi (Lilford's wall lizard). The record is from RNAcentral. Lineage: Eukaryota; Metazoa; Chordata; Lepidosauria; Squamata; Lacertidae.
AGGUAAAGGGACCCCUGACCAUUAUGUCCAGUCAUGACUGACUCUGAGAUUGCGGUGCUCAUCUUGCUUUAUUGGCCGAGGGAGCUGGCGUACAGCUUCCGGGUCAUGUGGCCAGCAUGACUAAGCCGCUUCUGGCGAACCAGAGCAGCGAACGGAAAUGCCGUUUACCUUCCCGCCGGAGCGGUACCUAUUUAUCUACUUGUACUUUGACGUGCUUUUGAACUGCUAGGUGGGCAGGAGCAGGGACUGAGCAACGGGAGCUCACCCCGUCACAGGGAUUCGAACCACCGACCUUCUGGUCGGCAAGCCCUAGGCUCUGUGGUUUAACCCACAGAGCCACCCACGUCCCGGUAUAUCCACAUUUAAAUCAACUGAGCAAGCAAGUCCCACCCCCUCCACCGCCCAUGGCUGCGUUUGACCACAAUCUCACCAGCUCUCUUUUUCAUUUUUGUUUACAAGCUAAUGUUUAGGCCAAAGGUUGGCCCGCGCUGCAUUUCCCUCCACGAAAUGCAAACUUGCAGUUCAAAAGGGUGACUCGGCAGACAAACAGAUCGACCCAAAGAGCACGCAGCACAGACUUUCUGGACGGAAGCCCAGAACUUGUCUAUGAUUUCAUGUCAAAUGUCUCUAGCCUUUCCCUCCUACUACUCCACUGUUGGCUAAUGGACAACAGUUUUGCCUGCAGAACUGAGCAAACUCAAAGCUUGUAGGCUUCCAACAGCAGGAGAGGUGUUGGACAUGAAUGUAGUCUUAGAAGUAGCCCUGAGAUUUUCACAGAAUCAUGGAAUCAGAGUAGGCCUUGAAGUAGCCUUGAAGUCUACUCUACUGCGCCAGAGGGAGGGAGUAUGGAGUUAGUGUCGUCCCCCCCAACAGAUGGCUUUCCAGUCUUGGCUUGAUAUCACCAACCCAUCCCUUCCAGGUAACUGGUUCCUUGGAUGAACUACUCUUUGAUGAAUUGUUACAUCCCCCCCCCAUCCCUCCUGUACUUAAAGCAUUACAGAAAUAAGAACUUAUAUUUUGUGACUACAGAUAGUAAUUGGCUUUAUUUCAUUUUUACCCCACCCUUCGUUCAAGGGACUCGGAAGAGAAGCAUACAUGAUUGUCACACCCCCAAUUAUCCCCAUAAGAAUCCAGUUAGAUUGUAAAAAAAGAAAAGAAGCAUUUUUGUUAGGGAUUGCAGAACAAGACCUGCCAAGAAAAACAAAGAAUCUAUUUAUGUAUGCUACAAUAGCGGCAAGAAUCUUGAUAUCACAAGGAUGGAAGAAUGAGGAAAUCCCAACGAAAGAACAGUGGCAAGAAAAAUUGAUGAGCUAUGCAGAGUUGGCUAAAUUGACAUACAAACUGCGUGAUAAGGACAACUGUGACUUUAAGGAAGAAUGGGAACUUUUUACAAAUUAUCUGAAAAGACAACAAAAUGAACUGGACUCCUUGGCAGGUUUUGAAGAAACAUACACAAAUUUAUGUGUAUUUAUGAUAGACAACGCAAGGAUAUAUAUAUAUAAUUUUAUAACAUGCAGAGAAUAAUAUGUGAAGAGAAAUCAGAGAGAGGAG